RNAcentral lists this ribosomal RNA (464 nucleotides) under uncultured bacterium. Its description in RNAcentral is "bacterial SSU rRNA". It matches the Rfam family "Bacterial small subunit ribosomal RNA", at positions 339 to 796 of the family's 1533-position model. The record is from RNAcentral.
GUACGGGAGGCAGCAGUCGAGAAUUUUUCACAAUGGGCGCAAGCCUGAUGGAGCGACGCCGCGUGGGGGAUGAAGGGUUUCGAUCCGUAAACCCCUGUCAUUUGCGAACAAACCUUAAGGGAUAACACCCCUUGAGCUGAUUGUAGCGGAAGAGGAAGGGACGGCUAACUCUGUGCCAGCAGCCGCGGUAAUACAGAGGUCCCAAGCGUUGUUCGGAUUCACUGGGCGUAAAGGGUGCGUAGGUGGCCGGGUAAGUUCGAUGUGAAAGCUCGGAGCUCAACUCCGAAAAGUCAUUGAAUACUAUCCGGCUUGAGGGUCGGAGGGGAGACUGGAAUUCUCGGUGUAGCAGUGAAAUGCGUAGAUAUCGAGAGGAACACCAGUGGCGAAGGCGAGUCUCUGGACGACUCCUGACACUGAGGCACGAAAGCUAGGGGAGCAAACAGGAUUAGAUACCCCAGUAGUCC